Molecule: ribosomal RNA, 417 nt
Filed under: uncultured eukaryote
Lineage: Eukaryota
Description: bacterial SSU rRNA
Rfam family: Eukaryotic small subunit ribosomal RNA
Source: RNAcentral
CAAUAGCGUAUAUUAAAUUGUUGCGGUUAGAACGCUCGUAGUCGAAUGUUUGUUCAAGCCCUACGUCCUCCCUAGUGGUGUGUACACAGUUUGGCUUGAGCACCUCUCUGAAACAAGUGUUUGCAGUUAAUUCUGUGGCGCAUUGUUCAGAACUUUUACUUUGAGGAAAUGAGAGUGCUUCAAGCAAAUUUGUGUUAUGAAUACGUUAGCAUGGAAUAAUAGCAUGGGACAUCAUCCUGAAUGUGUUGGUUUUUGGGUAGAUGUAAUGAAGGUGGGAUAGUUGGGGCGAUUCGUAUUUAACUGUUAGAGGUGAAAUUCUUGGAUUUUUUAAAGAUGGACUACUGCGAAAGCAUCUGCCAAAGAUGUUUUUGUCGAUCAAGAACGAAAUGUUAGGGGAUCGAAGACGAUUAGAUAGCC